GAAAAAUUCCUGAACUGCUCAAUCGAUAUUUGAUCCCAAAACGCGCACACAUACACACUCUACAAUCGGCAAACUCCAAUGGAAGUUCCAUCAGCUGCAUCCAAUACUUCAUCGAUACCCUCAAAUUCCGGCAGCCGUCGAAGCCCAUUUCGGCCCUUUCACUGCAGCUGCCUUAGAGGCUGCUGUCGUUGCUUCUGCUGCUUUUAUUCCUACCCUUGAAAUAUAUUUAGUUUAACCCACAAACCUGUAUAUAUUAGGAAGAUCUUUAGGUAUGGUGGAGUUGAUUGUCAGUUUUCAAUUUUCAUAAAUGGAUGAAAAGAUGCCACUUUUUUUCCGUUUUUUGUUUAGUAGUAAUUUUACUUGCAUUUGUGAAUUACUGGAAAAAAAAAUAUUUGCACUGGUGUAUGUUUCUGAAAGUGGAGUUCUUUUUGGAUCUUUAUCUUUCUCUGAUAUUUUUGCUUAUUUUAAUGGCUUGACUUGGAUGAAACUUAAGGGAAUUGAGCCAUAGACUACAAGUGUAUGAUGUCCAUAUGUAUAGGAGGAUGGAUACUACUUUGUUUGAGCCAUCGGUCUUGGGAAUCAAAUUGAUAGUGGGGCUUCUGGUUGAAUUUUAACUAGAUAUUAUGUCGAAAUUUUGAGAAUUGGGACUUCGGGUAAUUAGUAAUUAAGAAUGUUGAUCCAAUUUUGCCACUUUGAGCAAAGCAAAUGGUAGAAGAACUCAUUAACUAUGUCCAGAUACUCAUCUGGAAGUUUCUUGCGUCAUCAAUUUUUUUGUGUCAAAAGCAAAUAUUGGGCUUAUGCUUGCAAAUUAUUUGGACUGGGUUUUAAAUGAACGACUAUGGAGGCUUGUGAUUAUUGGUAAUUGUUGGAUUUUAUACGCAAUAAUAAAGAGAUGAAAUAGAGAAAUCAGCACAAAAAUUUACGUGGUUCGGCACCACGUCCACGAGAGCGAAUCGGAGAUAAUAUUAUCAAAUAUGAAAAAUAGAGUUACAAUAUUAUUAUUUAUACUAACCCUAGCUUAGGUCCAUAAAAACUUUAAGACCCAUACAAGAAAGUACCCCUAUACCAGACCGUGGCGACGUUUCUCUCGCACCCUCAACCCAUUCAGCGUCCCUAACAACUAGACAGUGAAUUAAACUCGUGCAAAACCAAUGUCGUCGCUCUGCUUCAUUUUGUUAGGUGCGCUACGCUCCCCUCACUCUGCUCCGCUACGGCAUCAACCUAUUUGAUCCAGAAACGAAUUCUUGCGUGGUCCAAGGAAAUCAAAGGUCCGCUUCCACGAUUUCAUCUAUAUGGAAUCUCUUAAUAUCAUAAUAGCUUAGUGCUUUCUGCCCUUGCCUAAGGGAUGAGGAAGAAAGGAAUUCACUGGGUCGUGAGGGAGUUUCAAUCGGUCUUUUCUAGGAUUCCUUAUCACGCCACACAUGGAGAUUUUUCCAUUGAUAGUCUGUGUUCCAUUCUAUAUGAACGACAUACACAACAGUAAUUAAACUAAUUAGUGUAAGAAAUUUCAUCUUUGAGGAUUUAGGGCUUUAUAUUAUUAAAUGGGCUAUAGGAAUCAUACCAUGUUGGGACAUAAUAGUUGGUUUAGGGUAAUGAGUUGAGGGAUGUCGUAGACGUUUGCAAUAUGAAAUGAUGUCUCAGUGGUGUUGGUACAGAUUAUAGUUUGUACUAAUAAUCGUCAUUCGCUAUAAAGCUUCAUUAUUUUGGUAAUUUUUUACAGUUAUUGCCAUUAAAAUAUGUACAUCUCUUUUCUUAUUAGUGUGGAGUGAUGUCAUAAACGACAAGCGUAUGAUGUCCAUAUGUGCUGGAGGAUGUAUACAGGUUUAUUUGAGCCAUUGGUCUUGGGAAUCAAAUUGACAGUUUUGGGGUAAUAGUAAUUAAGCAUGUUGAUCAAAUGAAUGCCGCUUUGAGUAAAGCAAGUGCUAGAAGAACAAAACAAGGAUCUCACCAUGGUCAUCUGAAAGUUUCUUACCUCAUCAAUUUGUUAAUGUCAAAAGCAAGUAAUGGGUUAUGAAUUUAAAGUCUAUACAUUUAUCUAUUUGCUUGAAAAAGAUUCAAUUUUUGGGUUUAAAUAUACAAUUAGGAGCUACUUGUUAUUUGUAGUUUAUCUCCUUCGUGUAAGAAAUUUCCUCUUUGAGGAUUCAGUGCUUACUUUGUACUACCAUCUGAUGUAUACGAAUCAUCCCAUAUUGGGACAUGAUAGUUGUUCUAGACAAACGAGUCUCAGGAUGUCAUCGAAGUUUGCAAGAUAAAUGAUGUCUCAGUGGUAUGUGCGCAAAUAUAGUUUGUACCAGUGGUCAUCUUUUGCCAUAAAGAAUGUGGGUCAGACAGGGCCUUAAUAUGUUGCAAAAUGAAGAGGUCAACUGGCUGCAGAUUCUGUCGAAGAUUUGCAUUCUUCAUCAUGAACCGGGCCUGGCACUUUGGUACAUGGGCAAGGGAUGUAUUAACAAGCGUGACAGAUAGCCUGAAGUUGCUAUUGGAAUAAACAACGAAUUCAGGAUAAUACUGAAGAGCCAAUCACUUCGCAACAGGAGAUUGAAUUCGAACAUGCCAAUUAAGAUCUUGGCACGUAUGUGCCAAAGCACGAUCUUUGCUCUGGUGAAGUCUUUAAAGUUGAUAUUGUAACGUGUUCUAUAUUCUUUCAUGUUCAUCAUGUUUUGUCAUUCCAUUUAGUUGGUAUAGAGUCAGAAUUCGCUCAUGCAGCCUAACACACUAAUUUUGGUUUUGUGAUCGCGAGAUUAUCCGAGUUCUUGCUGCCUUUGAACUAAACAUGAUCCAUAUCCUUAAAGUUGUUAAUCAGUUUCUAUAAAGAUUUUCUUGUUAUAA
This is a long non-coding RNA of Olea europaea var. sylvestris, 2826 nucleotides long. RefSeq lists it as uncharacterized. The record is from RefSeq and is a predicted model, not a curated record. NCBI's taxonomy places the organism in Eukaryota, Viridiplantae, Streptophyta, Magnoliopsida, Lamiales, Oleaceae. The transcript has 2 exons.